GACGAACGCUGGCGGCGUGCUUAACACAUGCAAGUCGAACGAUGAAAAAGAGAGCUUGCUCUUUUUGGAUUAGUGGCGAACGGGUGAGUAACACGUGAGUAAUCUGCCCCUGGCUUUGGGAUAGCCACCGGAAACGGUGAUUAAUACCGGAUAUGACCACUUCACGCAUGUGAUGGUGGUGGAAAGUUUUUCGGCCAGGGAUGUGCUCGCGGCCUAUCAGCUUGAUGGUGAGGUAAUGGCUCACCAUGGCUUCGACGGGUAGCCGGCCUGAGAGGGUGACCGGUCACACUGGGACUGAGACACGGCCCAGACUCCUACGGGAGGCAGCAGUGGGGAAUAUUGGACAAUGGGCGGAAGCCUGAUCCAGCAACGCCGCGUGAGGGAUGACGGCCUUCGGGUUGUAAACCUCUUUCGCCUGUGACGAAGCGCAAGUGACGGUAACAGGUAAAGAAGCACCGGCCAACUACGUGCCAGCCGCCGCCGUAACAC
This 489-nucleotide ribosomal RNA is filed under the name uncultured bacterium. RNAcentral describes it as "bacterial SSU rRNA". It matches the Rfam family "Bacterial small subunit ribosomal RNA", at positions 28 to 526 of the family's 1533-position model. The record is from RNAcentral.